RNAcentral lists this long non-coding RNA (612 nucleotides) under Sorghum bicolor (sorghum). RNAcentral's name for it is "long non-coding RNA (SBIC_LNC012846)". Lineage: Eukaryota; Viridiplantae; Streptophyta; Magnoliopsida; Poales; Poaceae. The record is from RNAcentral.
ACUGACCUAUAUCAAGAUCAACUCAACGAGAUCUGCAAUAUUUAAUAUAGACAUAUGCAUCGACAACCGCCCUUUUAAAGUUUUUAUAAAUAGAAAGGAAGUGGGGGUUGGAUAUCUCAAAUGUGGUGAUGUUGGAGAGACCAAUGGAUUGUGAAGAUGUUGCAUAUGAGCAUGGAGUAAAUGAAGUGGCUAUGAAAUAAAUUCCAUGCUCAUUAAUGCUUAGAGUGGAAUCCAUGUGGUAUGGUGAAAAUGAUAAGGUGAUUGUGGUAAAAAAAAGGAAAAGAAAAAGGAUACACAGACGACUUGGUUCGAAACUAGCACAGCUACCGUUCCCCGGCAACGGCGCCAGAAAGCUUGUUGGGUAUUUUAAACGCAAACAGAAAAAUCCGCAAACGCACGGAUACCGAUGUAGCUUUCACCCGGGAGUAUUCCAGAGUAUCGAUUUUCCACAGAGAACGUGAGUGUACUAAUUAAGAUCCAAGAUCGCCCAAGGAUAACUAUAUGAUUAUUUUUGGUGGGAAGAGAGGAAGUUUCCUGAGAGUUCUCUAGUUGAUCUAAGAAUCAAGAUUUACUUCAAGAUUAUCUAUAUCGGGACAUCAGAACACUAACCAC